GGGCCUCUUUUAUUAGUACUACACUGCGUGAGCGGACGAAAACAACAACACCUAAAAUGUGGAAUAUAGCAUAUAGUCGACAAGAGAAAUCUACGAAAAACAAACAAAACUUUCAACAACGGAUCUCUUGGUUCUCGCAUCGAUGAAGAGCGCAGCGAAAUGCGAUACCUAGUGUGAAUUGCAGCCAUCGUGAAUCAUCGAGUUCUUGAACGCACAUUGCGCCCCUCGGCAUUCCGGGGGGCAUGCCUGUUUGAGCGUCGUUUCCAUCUUGCGCGUGCGCAGAGUUGGGGGAGCGGAGCGGACGACGUGUAAAGAGCGUCGGAGCUGCGACUCGCCUGAAAGGGAGCGAAGCUGGCCGAGCGAACUAGACUUUUUUUCAGGGACGCUUGGCGGCCGAGAGCGAGUGUUGCGAGACAACAAAAAGCUCGACCUCAAAUCAGGUAGGAAUACCCGCUGAACUUAAGCAUAUCAAAAGGCCGGAGGAA
Molecule: ribosomal RNA, 485 nt
Filed under: Pichia kudriavzevii
Lineage: Eukaryota; Fungi; Ascomycota; Pichiomycetes; Pichiales; Pichiaceae
Description: eukaryotic LSU rRNA
Rfam family: 5.8S ribosomal RNA (bases 108-260)
Source: RNAcentral